This 261-nucleotide non-coding RNA is filed under the name Nicotiana tabacum (common tobacco). RNAcentral describes it as "Eukaryotic small subunit ribosomal RNA". It matches the Rfam family "Eukaryotic small subunit ribosomal RNA", at positions 1229 to 1402 of the family's 1831-position model. Lineage: Eukaryota; Viridiplantae; Streptophyta; Magnoliopsida; Solanales; Solanaceae. The record is from Rfam by way of RNAcentral.
CUUCGCAACCAGCUUGACAGACUAAGAGUUCUUACUUGAUUCUAUGGGUGGUGGUGCAUGGUCGUUCUUAAUUGGUGGAGCGAUUUGUCUGGUUAAUUUUGUUAUAGAACGAGACAUUAGCUUGCUUAUGUGACACCCUAGGCCACUCCCACAUCGACAAAACACGAGAAAGAUGCUGGGUAAAUAAGUAAACAUGCCUUAGACUCUAGUGACGCGUUUUAAACUCGUGAGAGCCUAGGUCCAGAAUAGACAAUAUCACUA